Molecule: transfer RNA, 90 nt
Filed under: Endomicrobium sp.
Lineage: Bacteria; Pseudomonadati; Elusimicrobiota; Endomicrobiia; Endomicrobiales; Endomicrobiaceae
Description: tRNA-Leu
Rfam family: tRNA
About the family: Transfer RNA (tRNA) molecules are approximately 80 nucleotides in length. Their secondary structure includes four short double-helical elements and three loops (D, anti-codon, and T loops). Further hydrogen bonds mediate the characteristic L-shaped molecular structure. tRNAs have two regions of fundamental functional importance: the anti-codon, which is responsible for specific mRNA codon recognition, and the 3' end, to which the tRNAs corresponding amino acid is attached (by aminoacyl-tRNA synthetases). tRNAs cope with the degeneracy of the genetic code in two manners: having more than one tRNA (with a specific anti-codon) for a particular amino acid; and 'wobble' base-pairing, i.e. permitting non-standard base-pairing at the 3rd anti-codon position.
Source: RNAcentral
GCCGAGAUGGUGAAAUUUUGGAAGACACGUGAGACUCAAAAUCUCAUAUCACAGAAAAGUGAUGUGCGGGUUCAAGUCCCGCUCUCGGCA